This 267-nucleotide ribosomal RNA is filed under the name uncultured Comamonadaceae bacterium. RNAcentral's name for it is "partial 16S ribosomal RNA". It matches the Rfam family "Bacterial small subunit ribosomal RNA", at positions 1 to 267 of the family's 1533-position model. The record is from RNAcentral. Lineage: Bacteria; Pseudomonadati; Pseudomonadota; Betaproteobacteria; Burkholderiales; Comamonadaceae.
GUCAGAGUUUGUAUCCUGGCUCAGAUUGAACGCUGGCGGCAUGCUUUACACAUGCAAGUCGAACGGUAACAGGUUAAGCUGACGAGUGGCGAACGGGUGAGUAAUGCAUCGGAACGUGCCCGAUCGUGGGGGAUAACGCAGCGAAAGCUGCGCUAAUACCGCAUACGAUCUGAGGAUGAAAGCGGGGGGUACCUUGUAGCAAUGCGGGGGCCUCGCGCGAUCGGAGCGGCCGAUGUCAGAUUAGGUAGUUGGUGGGGUAAAGGCUCA